This is a long non-coding RNA of Mytilus trossulus (common blue mussel), 858 nucleotides long. RefSeq lists it as uncharacterized. The transcript has 6 exons. The record is from RefSeq and is a predicted model, not a curated record. Lineage: Eukaryota; Metazoa; Mollusca; Bivalvia; Mytilida; Mytilidae.
AUAUUUCUUUUUCUUUUUUUUAAAUUAAUCAUUUGGUUCGUAAACAAUUAGACGAUGGACAAAACAUUAUCGAUGUUAUUCUUUAGUAUACUGACGAUGACAACUAGAGGUGAUCCGUGUACUGAUUAUAAAGUUUUGGAUUCAGCUGACGACCACAGACGAUCUGUUGCAAAUAGCUACGGUCAAUUAUGUGAUAAUACCCUGGAGUCAGGAUGGUACAGAAUUAUCAGCAGGGCGGGAGAAAGAAUGCCUACAGAAUGUAUAAUUGGGGGUUUCCGUUGUGGGACAACGUCCUCUAUAUGGAUGAGUGGAACCUACCCAAUUAUCAAUGAGACGAACUCAGUGACUCAUGUACAGCCGACUACAAUGGAAAUUGCUGUGCCUAUUCACAUCAGAUAAAAGUGAAAAAUUGUACCGAUUAUCUCGUCUACAAUUUGGUUCCUGUUGCACCAUGCUAUCAGGCUUAUUGCUUUGGAUCAGAAUUGCCUUGUCCGACUGGAGAAACUUCGGAAAAUGGUUUCAGUCCCGGAUGCAGACGAGAAUUAACGACCACAACCUUUACAACAAAACAAUUAACUUCAACAAUAACAGUAACACCACCACCAACAACAACAAGAUCAAAACCUCAAACCACAGAAAUACCUAAUGAAGAAUCUACAGCAGAAGAAACAACUGAUACAUCCAGCGCAGCAAUCGCUUCAUCACCGACAACAACACAUUCACAGGACAUAUCGACUACUUCACUAGCGACAACAACACAUCUACCGAACAAAGAUGAAAAGGCAGAAUCUUCCAUCAGUAUGACAGUCGUUGGUCUGACUGUCCUUGUUGUUUUCUUGCUUAUUGUUAUAGCCGUAU